RNAcentral lists this ribosomal RNA (556 nucleotides) under uncultured bacterium. RNAcentral's name for it is "bacterial SSU rRNA". It matches the Rfam family "Bacterial small subunit ribosomal RNA", at positions 102 to 694 of the family's 1533-position model. The record is from RNAcentral.
ACGGGUGAGUAACGCGUGGGAAUCUACCGUACCCUACGGAAUAGCUCCGGGAAACUGGAAUUAAUACCGUAUACGCCCUUCGGGGGAAAGAUUUAUCGGGGUAUGAUGAGCCCGCGUUGGAUUAGCUAGUUGGUGGGGUAAAGGCCUACCAAGGCGACGAUCCAUAGCUGGUCUGAGAGGAUGAUCAGCCACAUUGGGACUGAGACACGGCCCAAACUCCUACGGGAGGCAGCAGUGGGGAAUAUUGGACAAUGGGCGCAAGCCUGAUCCAGCCAUGCCGCGUGAGUGAUGAAGGCCCUAGGGUUGUAAAGCUCUUUCACCGGUGAAGAUAAUGACGGUAACCGGAGAAGAAGCCCGGCUAACUUCGUGCCAGCAGCCGCGGUAAUACGAAGGGGGCUAGCGUUGUUCGGAAUUACUGGGCGUAAAGCGCACGUAGGCGGAUAUUUAAGUCAGGGGUGAAAUCCCAGAGCUCAACUCUGGAACUGCCUUUGAUACUGGGUAUCUCGAGUAUGGAAGAGGUGAGUGGAAUUCCGAGUGUAGAGGUGAAAUUCGUAGA